Molecule: ribosomal RNA, 480 nt
Filed under: uncultured bacterium
Lineage: Bacteria
Description: partial 16S ribosomal RNA
Rfam family: Bacterial small subunit ribosomal RNA
Source: RNAcentral
GAUGAACGCUGGCGGCGUGCUUAACACAUGCAAGUCGAACGAAGCAUUUAGGACAGAUUACUUCGGUUUGAAGUUCUUUAUGACUGAGUGGCGGACGGGUGAGUAACGCGUGGGUAACCUGCCUUGUACUGGGGGAUAGCAGCUGGAAACGGCUGGUAAUACCGCAUAAGCGCACAAUGUUGCAUGACAUGGUGUGAAAAACUCCGGUGGUAUAAGAUGGACCCGCGUCUGAUUAGCUAGUUGGUGAGAUAACAGCCCACCAAGGCGACGAUCAGUAGCCGAACUGAGAGGGUGACCGGCAACAUUGGGAAGGAGACACGGCCCAGACUCCUACGGGAGGGAGAAGUGGGGAAUAUUGCACAAUGGAGGAAACUCUGAUGCAGCGACGCCGCGUAAGUGAAGAAGUAAUUCGUUAUGUAAAGCUCUAUCAGCAGGGAAGAUAGUGACGGUACCGGACUAAGAAGCUCCGGCUAAAUACGU